This 465-nucleotide ribosomal RNA is filed under the name uncultured Bacteroidota bacterium. RNAcentral describes it as "bacterial SSU rRNA". It matches the Rfam family "Bacterial small subunit ribosomal RNA", at positions 210 to 672 of the family's 1533-position model. The record is from RNAcentral. Lineage: Bacteria; Pseudomonadati; Bacteroidota.
AUUUAUCGGUAUGAGAUGGCGAUGCGUCCCAUUAGCUUGUUGGUGAGGUAACGGCUCACCAAGGCAUCGAUGGGUAGGGGUUCUGAGAGGAAGGUCCCCCACAUUGGAACUGAGACACGGUCCAAACUCCUACGGGAGGCAGCAGUGAGGAAUAUUGGUCAAUGGACGAAAGUCUGAACCAGCCAAGUAGCGUGCAGGAUGACGGCCCUCUGGGUUGUAAACUGCUUUUAGUUGGGAAUAAAAAGAGGGACGUGUCCCUUAUUGCAUGUACCAUCAGAAAAAGGACCGGCUAAUUCCGUGCCAGCAGCCGCGGUAAUACGGAAGGUCCAGGCGUUAUCCGGAUUUAUUGGGUUUAAAGGGAGCGCAGGCGGCGGCGUAAGUCAGUUGUGAAAUCGUGCGGCUUAACCGUGCAAUUGCAGUUGAUACUGCGUCGCUUGAGUGCACACAGGGAUGUUGGAAUUCAUG